UAUAUUUAAAGAAGGAAUUGAUUUAAUAUUUUUUGAAAGGAUUUUUUUUUUAAUGAUUUUUUGAAAAUUUAUGGUUUUAGUUGUAGUAUUUAGUAAAAAAUAUAUAACACAGCAAAAACAUUCAAAUCAGAAUUUCAGUGGAUCUAUAUAGGCAUUUUAGAAGAAGUUAUGACUAAAAUGAUGGAGCAGUUAAGAGGAUCUGAUGGCUUUUUUAAAAAAAUAAUAAGAAAUAGAAAAAUUGAAAAAAAUUCUUAUGGAAUUUGUCAAAGGAAUGUUGCGUUAGGCUUCAUUUUAAGAUUUACGAUAAUGGCGCAUUUAUAAGAUUUAUAUUAAAAA
Long non-coding RNA from Hydra vulgaris (swiftwater hydra), 336 nucleotides. RefSeq lists it as uncharacterized. Lineage: Eukaryota; Metazoa; Cnidaria; Hydrozoa; Anthoathecata; Hydridae. The record is from RefSeq and is a predicted model, not a curated record.